Molecule: ribosomal RNA, 292 nt
Filed under: uncultured bacterium
Lineage: Bacteria
Description: partial 16S ribosomal RNA
Rfam family: Bacterial small subunit ribosomal RNA
Source: RNAcentral
GUGUCAGCCGCCGCGGUAAUACGGAGGGUGCGAGCGUUGUUCGGAAUUACUGGGCGUAAAGCGCGUGCAGGCGGCCGACUAAGUCAGGUGUGAAAGCCCGGGGCUCACCUCCGGAAGUGCGCUUGAAACUGGUCGGCUAGAGUACGGGAGAGGGAAGCGGAAUUCCUGGUGUAGCGGUGAAAUGCGUAGAUAUCAGGAGGAACACCGGCGGCGAAGGCGGCUUCCUGGACCGAUACUGACGCUGAGACGCGAAAGCGUGGGGAGCAAACAGGAUUAGAAACCCCUGUAGUCC